CCUACGGGAGGCAGCAGUGAGGAAUAUUGGUCAAUGGACGAGAGUCUGAACCAGCCAAGUAGCGUGAAGGAUGACUGCCCUAUGGGUUGUAAACUUCUUUUAUAUGGGAAUAAAACGUUCCACGUGUGGGAUUUUGUAUGUACCAUAAGAAUAAGGAUCGGCUAACUCCGUGCCAGCAGCCGCGGUAAUACGGAGGAUCCGAGCGUUAUCCGGAUUUAUUGGGUUUAAAGGGAGCGUAGGUGGAUUGUUAAGUCAGUUGUGAAAGUUUGCGGCUCAACCGUAAAAUUGCAGUUGAAACUGGCAGUCUUGAGUACAGUAGAGGUGGGCGGAAUUCGUGGUGUAGCGGUGAAAUGCUUAGAUAUCACGAAGAACUCCGAUUGCGAAGGCAGUUCACUGGACUGCAACUGACACUGAGGCUCGAAAGUGUGGGUAUCAAACAGGAUUAGAUACCCCAGUAGUC
Molecule: ribosomal RNA, 460 nt
Filed under: uncultured bacterium
Lineage: Bacteria
Description: partial 16S ribosomal RNA
Rfam family: Bacterial small subunit ribosomal RNA
Source: RNAcentral